Molecule: ribosomal RNA, 497 nt
Filed under: uncultured bacterium
Lineage: Bacteria
Description: partial 16S ribosomal RNA
Rfam family: Bacterial small subunit ribosomal RNA
Source: RNAcentral
GAUGAACGCUGGCGGCGUGCCUAAUACAUGCAAGUCGAGCGAACAGACGAGGAGCUUGCUCCUCUGACGUUAGCGGCGGACGGGUGAGUCACACGUGGAUAAUCUACCUAUAAGACUGGGAUAACUUCGGGAAACCGGAGCUAAUACCGGAUAAUAUAUUGAACCGCAUGGUUCAAUAGUGAAAGUCGGUUGUGCUGUCAGUACUCGAUGGAUCCGCGCCGCAUUGGCUAGUUGGUAAGGUAACGGCUUACCAAGGCAACGAUGCGUAGCCGACCUGAGAGGGUGAUCGGCCACACUGGAACUGAGACACGGACCAGACUCCUACGGGAGGCAGCAGUAGGGAAUCUUACGCAAUGGGCGAAAGCCUGACGGAGCAACGCCGCGUGAGUGAUGAAGGUCUUCGGAUCGUAAAACUCUGUUAUUAGGUAAGAACAAAUUUGUAAGUAACUAUGCACGUCUUGACGGUACCUAAUCAGAAAGCCACGGCUAACUACGUG